AAAAUGCAAGAAUUUUGUAGUAUAGGAUAAUCAUUUUAAACUAAUGUGAAAUUUAAUAUUUUUUUUAUUGAAAGCAUUUGGUUAUGGGUCAAAUAACAUCAAGGAAGAAAUGGAUCUAAAGUGGAUAUAGUCCAUUCAAGUUUAUGUGGCAUUUAUUUUUGGAUUUUUCUCAUUAAAUUUUAUGUCAUGUCAUAUUUUUGGUAGGGGUUUGAGCCAAAAUGUGAAAAUUUAGUUACUUUUAGUGUCAAAAAAUAAUUGAGUGACUUUAGUGAACUUGAAACACAGUUGAGUGACCAAUCAUUUAAAUUAAGCCUUUACCUAUACAAGUGGAAUUUCUCGAAUCUCGAAUAUGCAUUUGAACAAGGCGGAGAAUUGCAUGGGAAAAAAGUCUAUCUUUUUGGUUGUACUGAACCACAACUAGUUUAUUUUCAUGGCCAAUCAAAAGUCAUAUGCAUACCUGUUGUGAUUGCUGUUGUAUCUUCUUUUCCACCUUCUGAUAAAAUUGGAAUAAAUUCCGUACAAAGAGAAGCUGAAGAGAUACUACCAAUGAAACAGAUGAAAAUGGAGUGGUUUCCAUAUAUUCCUUUAGAAAAACGAAAAUCUCAAGUUGAAAAACUCAAAUCUCAAAUUUUUAUUCUAAGGUGUACUCAAAGAAGAGCUGGUUUAAAACACUUGAAAUUAGAGCGAGUGAAGAAGUUUGAAUAUUGCUUACCUUAUUUUUAUCAUCCAUUCUCAGGAGAUGAUCAGCUCGAACAAAGCACCGUUGUGCAUAUCUUAUUCCCAACUGAACCGCCUGUAUUUUGUGAGUUUGAUUGGGAAUUUGAUGAGCCAAAGGAAAUGGCAAAUU
This 847-nucleotide long non-coding RNA is filed under the name Nicotiana tabacum (common tobacco). RNAcentral's name for it is "long non-coding RNA (NTAB_LNC002260)". The record is from RNAcentral. Lineage: Eukaryota; Viridiplantae; Streptophyta; Magnoliopsida; Solanales; Solanaceae.